UACGGAGGAUCCAAGCGUUAUCCGGAUUUAUUGGGUGUAAAGGGUGCGUAGGCGGCUUUAUAAGUCAGUGGUGAAAUCCCGGGGCUCAACCUCGGAACUGCCAUUGAUACUAUUAGCCUUGAAUUAUGUUGAGGUUGGCGGAAUAUAACAUGUAGCGGUGAAAUGCUUAGAUAUGUUAUGGAACACCGAUUGCGAAGGCAGCUGGCUAAACAUAUAUUGACGCUGAUGCACGAAAGUGUGGGUAGCGAACAGG
This 253-nucleotide ribosomal RNA is filed under the name uncultured Bacteroidota bacterium. RNAcentral's name for it is "uncultured Bacteroidetes bacterium partial 16S ribosomal RNA". It matches the Rfam family "Bacterial small subunit ribosomal RNA", at positions 524 to 776 of the family's 1533-position model. The record is from RNAcentral. Lineage: Bacteria; Pseudomonadati; Bacteroidota.